RNAcentral lists this ribosomal RNA (466 nucleotides) under uncultured bacterium. Its description in RNAcentral is "partial 16S ribosomal RNA". It matches the Rfam family "Bacterial small subunit ribosomal RNA", at positions 28 to 507 of the family's 1533-position model. The record is from RNAcentral.
GAUGAACGCUGGCGGCGUGCUUAACACAUGCAAGUCGAACGAUGAAGCCCAGCUUGCUUGGUGGAUUAGUGGCGAACGGGUGUGUAACACGUGAGUAACCUGCCCUUGACUCUGGGAUAAGCCUGGGAAACUGGGUCUAAUACUGGAUAUGACUUCUCAUCGCAUGGUGUGGGGUGGAAAGAUUUUUUGGUCUUGGAUGGACUCGCGGCCUAUCAGCUUGUUGGUGAGGUAGUGGCUCACCAAGGCGCCGACGGGUAGCCGGCCUGAGAGGGUGACCGGCCACACUGGGACUGAGACACGGCCCAGACUCCUACGGGAGGCAGCAGUGGGGAAUAUUGCACAAUGGGCGGAAGCCUGAUGCAGCGACGCCGCGUGAGGGAUGACGGCCUUCGGGUUGUAAACCUCUUUCAGUAGGGAAGAAGCGAGAGUGACGGUACCUGCAGAAGAAGCACCGGCUAACUACGUG